AGUGAACGCUGGCGGUAGGCCUAACACAUGCAAGUCGAACGGCAGCACAGUAAGAGCUUGCUCUUACGGGUGGCGAGUGGCGGACGGGUGAGGAAUACAUCGGAAUCUACUUUUUCGUGGGGGAUAACGUAGGGAAACUUACGCUAAUACCGCAUACGACCUACGGGUGAAAGCAGGGGAUCUUCGGACCUUGCGCGAUUGAAUGAGCCGAUGUCGGAUUAGCUAGUUGGCGGGGUAAAGGCCCACCAAGGCGACGAUCCGUAGCUGGUCUGAGAGGAUGAUCAGCCCCCCUGGAACUGAGACACGGUCCAGACUCCUACGGGAGGCAGCAGUGGGGAAUAUUGGACAAUGGGCGCAAGCCUGAUCCAGCCAUACCGCGUGGGUGAAGAAGGCCUUCGGGUUGUAAAGCCCUUUUGUUGGGAAAGAAAAGCAGCAGGUUAAUACCCCGCCGUUCUGACGGUACCCAAAGAAUAAGCACCGGCUAACUUCGUG
RNAcentral lists this ribosomal RNA (492 nucleotides) under uncultured bacterium. RNAcentral describes it as "partial 16S ribosomal RNA". It matches the Rfam family "Bacterial small subunit ribosomal RNA", at positions 29 to 507 of the family's 1533-position model. The record is from RNAcentral.